GAUGAAGAACGCAGCGAAAUGCGAUAAGUAGUGUGAAUUGCAGAAUUCAGUGAAUCAUCGAAUCUUUGAACGCACAUUGCGCCCCUUGGUAUUCCAUGGGGCAUGCCUGUUCGAGCGUCAUUUGUACCUUCAAGCCUUGCUUGGUGUUGGGUGUUUGUCUCGCCUCUGCGCGCAGACUCGCCUCAAAACAAUUGGCAGCCGGCGUAUUGAUUUCGGAGCGCAGUACAUCUCGCGCUUUGCACUCACAACGGCGGCGUCCAAAAGUACAUUUUUACACUCUUGACCUCGGAUCAGGUAGGGAUACCCGCUGAACUUAAGCAUAUCAAUAAGCGGAGGA
Molecule: unclassified non-coding RNA, 337 nt
Filed under: soil metagenome
Description: partial contains 5.8S ribosomal RNA, internal transcribed spacer 2, and large subunit ribosomal RNA
Rfam family: 5.8S ribosomal RNA (bases 1-120)
Source: RNAcentral